RNAcentral lists this ribosomal RNA (465 nucleotides) under uncultured bacterium. RNAcentral describes it as "partial 16S ribosomal RNA". It matches the Rfam family "Bacterial small subunit ribosomal RNA", at positions 339 to 795 of the family's 1533-position model. The record is from RNAcentral.
CUACGGGUGGCUGCAGUGAGGAAUUUUGCGCAAUGGGCGAAAGCCUGACGCAGCAACGCCGCGUGAGUGAUGAAGGCCUUCGGGUCGUAAAGCUCUGUCAAGUGGGAAGAACCUAUGUAAUGUUAAUAUCAUUAUAUACUGACGGUACCACUGAAGGAAGCACCGGCUAACUCCGUGCCAGCAGCCGCGGUAAUACGGGGGGUGCAAGCGUUAUUCGGAAUCAUUAGGCGUAAAGGGCACGUAGGCGGCCUGGUAAGUCAGAUGUGAAAGCCCGGGGCUUAACCCCGGAAGUGCAUUUGAUACUGUCAGGCUUGAGUAUGGGAGAGGGAAGUGGAAUUCCUGGUGUAGAGGUGAAAUUCGUAGAUAUCAGGAGGAACGCCGGUGGCGAAGGCGACUUCCUGGACCAAUACUGACGCUGAGGUGCGAAGGCGUGGGUAGCAAACAGGAUUAGAUACCCGCGUAGUC